RNAcentral lists this non-coding RNA (21 nucleotides) under Arabidopsis thaliana (thale cress). The record is from RNAcentral. Lineage: Eukaryota; Viridiplantae; Streptophyta; Magnoliopsida; Brassicales; Brassicaceae.
UGAUAUUUGUUUCGUUCGCCG